GUGAAGGACAUGGUCUGGCGAAUUAUGAGGCAGGCAAUCAAAAAUGACUUGGCUAAAGCGGAAAACACCAAACCAAAAUUUGGAGCAUAAAAACAUUGUGAUUGCACACAAACCAGAAGUAAAUGAUCUGCUGGUUGUCUUCCUGUGACUAAACACAUAACAGACCCUCAGCCAUCGUGUCACAGCGUUUAAUGCGUCUCUGGAGGUUGACAGAUGAACUGUGAGCUUUUUCUCACAGCAGGCCGAGCUGCUGAGUGAGAAACACCCUCACGCUUCCUGCAUGAACCAUCUCAACAAUUCACAUCAUUUACCCUGGGAAAAACGCCUCACUGCCAGCCACGACUUUCCAUGCAGUGCCGACAAAAAAUGAGA
This is a long non-coding RNA of Sinocyclocheilus grahami, 372 nucleotides long. RefSeq lists it as uncharacterized. The transcript has 3 exons. Lineage: Eukaryota; Metazoa; Chordata; Actinopteri; Cypriniformes; Cyprinidae. The record is from RefSeq and is a predicted model, not a curated record.